UUGGUACCCACUAAAUUGAAAUACCACGUUGAUAAGAAUAUAUGGAUACAAAACUGCAUUUUCCAUUAAGGAAAAAAAAAAAAAAAAAAAAAAAAGGCAAGUGGACUAGAGAGAAAUGAACCUUCUGUCUAAAAAAAAAUUGGGGAAAAAGCAGAUUUUCAGUGAAAUCAUGAGAGAGGAAAAGGAAGGGAAGGGAAGGGAAGGGAAGGGAAGGCCACAGAAGCACGGGAAUAAAAUGGGAGUUUGUUCAAAAAAAAAAAACCAACAAUUAGAAAAAUACCUUUUUUGUUUGUUUGUUUAAAUUUUAAAAAAUCAGUUUUGCAAAGGUGCUUAGAGGCUCUACUCCACUCUGGAAUGUUUACGAGGCAUUUUGUAAUUUAAAUAUAGUAGAAAUAACUCUUGGAGCACUAUCAUCACAUAUGGAUACUAUCCUGCAGCUGCUGAAGACGACAGAAAAUAGACUUUGUCAUGUGGCAUUCUGACAGGAGGUUAAUCAGGAGAGUACACUUUAAAGGACAAUGGAAGCACAAGGAUUUAUGUCUUUAUAGGUUUCCGAAGCGCAGAGCCUCACCUCCAGCUAUGUCCAAGGGCCCGUUCUUUUUCCGAAGCUCAAUGACAGCUUCCACAAACUCCUUGCCGCCUUUCUUUUCCAAAGUGCUCCCUGAACAGAGAAUUGUUAUUUUACUCCUCUGAUCCCAGGUUUCCACGACAGACACAUGACUCAUCAUUAUUUGCAAUUACAUCAGUCUAGAUUUUUCUGCCCAAACGUUUUUUGGGGACUGCAAAGUAAGAUCUAAACCUUUUGGGACUUCAGAAUUAGCUACUCAUUAAAAACAACAACAACAACAACAAAAAUGAAAAACCAAAAAAGACAACCCUAAGAACCCAAAAACCUCACGUCUGAAUCCCUUGCUAACAUUCUCAGACCGUGAUUUUCAUGUCAAAACAUCUGACAUGACGUCCCUAUCUCCUUCCUUAUCAGAAGCAUCUGUCAGUGUGAAACGUUGCAAAAGAACGUGCUAGCUCAAGAGUGGUGAAGGUUCAUAAUUCCUGCCGUCAAGGUUCAUUUCCCCUCUCUCUUAUAAAUGGUUUUAAAGAGCCAUUUGCCACAAUAAGAAUUUGAGACUCACCUGAUCUUGGUCCCUGACCCCAACAGGUGGCACCAGGAAUGAAACAGUCUCGUGAGUGCAGCGGGCUGCUUUACUUGGUAACUGCCCAGCUUGUUGAGCCACCUUUAACCAAGAGGAAGAGCCUCAGAAAUAAGGAGAAUCUCUAAGGAACAUAUUCCUCCAAUGAACUUCUCUAACUACAGCUAAGGAGCUGGACAAAGUCAUUUUGGGAGGAGAAGAGCUGUGCAGCAUUAUCAGGGCAACCAAAAGGUAUGCCAUUUACAAAGGCAGUCCAUCACUAAAUGGUUUAGAUCUUAUUUUGCAGCUCUAGUUUUAGGUAUUAAUAUAAUAAAAACAGCCCAAGAAAGCA
This 1479-nucleotide long non-coding RNA is filed under the name Anser brachyrhynchus (Pink-footed goose). RNAcentral describes it as "lncRNA (ENSABRG00000010127.1)". Lineage: Eukaryota; Metazoa; Chordata; Aves; Anseriformes; Anatidae. The record is from RNAcentral.